RNAcentral lists this ribosomal RNA (253 nucleotides) under uncultured bacterium. Its description in RNAcentral is "partial 16S ribosomal RNA". It matches the Rfam family "Bacterial small subunit ribosomal RNA", at positions 524 to 776 of the family's 1533-position model. The record is from RNAcentral.
UACGUAGGGGGCUAGCGUUGUCCGGAAUCAUUGGGCGUAAAGAGCGUGUAGGCGGCCAGGUAGGUCUGCUGUGAAAACUCGAGGCUCAACCUCGAGAUGUCGGCGGAAACCAUCUGGCUAGAGUCCGGAAGAGGAGAGUAGAAUUCCUGGUGUAGCGGUGAAAUGCGCAGAUAUCAGGAGGAAUACCCGUGGCGAAAGCGGCUCUCUGGGACGGUACUGACGCUGAGACGCGAAAGCGUGGGGAGCAAACAGG